This 333-nucleotide ribosomal RNA is filed under the name uncultured bacterium. Its description in RNAcentral is "bacterial SSU rRNA". It matches the Rfam family "Bacterial small subunit ribosomal RNA", at positions 28 to 355 of the family's 1533-position model. The record is from RNAcentral.
GAUGAACGCUAGCGGCAGGCUUAAUACAUGCAAGUCGUGGGGCAGCAUGAGUGUAGCAAUACAUUUGAUGGCGACCGGCAAACGGGUGCGGAACACGUACACAACCUUCCUUCAAGUGGGGAAUAGCCCAGGGAAACUUGGAUUAAUACCCCGUAAUAUUAUGGAGUGGCAUCACUUUAUAAUUAUAGCUCCGGCGCUUGAUGAUGGGUGUGCGCCUGANAGGUAGUUGGCGGGGUAACGGCCCACCAAGCCUUCGAUCAGUAACCGGUGUGAGAGCACGACCAGUCACACGGGCACUGAGACACGGGCCCGACUCCUACGGGAGGCAGCAGU